RNAcentral lists this microRNA precursor (70 nucleotides) under Pelobates cultripes (western spadefoot toad). It matches the Rfam family "mir-8/mir-141/mir-200 microRNA precursor family". From Rfam's summary of the family: The bounds of the precursors are predicted based on conservation and base pairing and are not generally known. The record is from RNAcentral. Lineage: Eukaryota; Metazoa; Chordata; Amphibia; Anura; Pelobatidae.
CUCUGUGCCAUUUUACACAGCGUGGGAAAGUUUUUUGGAAUUUUCCAACGCUGUGUAAAAUGACACAGAG